ACGGAUGGCCCAGGGCUCCAAAGGCUCGUUUCCUAAGUGAGAGAGAGCCUGGCUGAAGCUGUAUUACCAUUCAUUCUCCAGCCUCCGAAGUCUCAAAGCAUCACUUCCACCAUACUCUAACUGUCAAGACAAACACAAAGGCCCAGAAACUGCCAGACUGUCUUCUGAAGUGGCUAUAAUAUUUACACUCCCAUCAGCAGUGUAGAAGGGGUCUCACUAUGUUGUCUGGAGUGCUGUGGUGGAGUGGAGUGGCUAUUCACAGAGCCUGUUCUGCUGGGACACAGAAUCACUUGCUCCAUCUCAUACAUUGAUGAUGAUUAAUUUGUAUGUGUACCUUCCAAAAAAGAUGGUUGUGUUUGAAUGGAGGCCUUCUGGACAGGAAAAUUGCAAAGUACAAUUAACAUUUGAGUCUGUCUGAGUCAUGAAGAAAUGGAGAUUACUGAAAAUAAUUCAUUUUGGUAUCUUCUUACAUCCUGAGAGACUAAUCUUUCCAAGUUCAUCUGAGGCUCCUCUUCUCCAUGACAACCUCAUCCAGGGAUUUCUUCCUGUCCUGGUGUUUUAUGACAUCAUCCUCAUCUCGCUUGUAAGGAUAAUAGCCUUCCUCCAAACCUCACACACUUUUGGAGGAGAUCACUUUUUUUAAAGUGCAUGGAAAUGUUUUGAAACAGUGAAAUCUAUAAUGAUAGGUUUCAUAAUUCUAACAUCCACACCAUAUGAAUCACAUCCUUCCUGAGAUAAUGAGCACACAAUUGCCUGGAUACCUGAAGGAAUGGAGACAGCGGCAGAAAACACUGCAGAGAGGUGGAAACAUCCGUUAAUAUUUUAAAAUCCCAUUACUGCUACCAACAAUAAUAAUGGAUGCAUAGAAAUAGAUCUGGAUUAGCUGAGCUUGAAACAGUCCAUCUCACACACACACAAAAGAAUUUCAGAUACAGUGAACCCACAUGUUGAAGCUUUCUAGUAUAAUAAAAAUUUCAACUGUUCUGUUGAAUCAUCUGCCUGAUUGGAGGCUACAGAAAAGAUGUCAUCUUAGGAGUGCUUGCUCUGAGUGAGGCUCAUCUUCAAAUCUGAAUGACCACAAGGAGAUUUGAUUAUACAUGUGAACACCUCAGAAGGCACAGCCCACCCAGAAGGCAGACAGAAGAAGCUGCCAGGAAGACUGUGAAAUCUUCAUGCCCAAGGAUCCCUAAAAUUAGGAGCAACAACCACUUGGCUCAGACGGUUUAUGGAGGCAAAGGUUUGGAUGGGAUUAGAGAUUUCUAAAUGAGGAGACAGACACUAGAGCUCACCGGCUCGCCCUCUCACUCCUACUCAUCUGAGAAGGCAGCCAGCUAACCCUUCAGCCAGGAAGAGGGUCCUCAUCAGAACCUGGCCGUGGUGGCAUCCAGAUCUUGAACCUCCGGACUCCAGACUGUGAGAAAAUAAGUGUGUUGUUUAAACUA
This 1442-nucleotide long non-coding RNA is filed under the name Homo sapiens (human). RNAcentral describes it as "long intergenic non-protein coding RNA 635". The record is from RNAcentral. Lineage: Eukaryota; Metazoa; Chordata; Mammalia; Primates; Hominidae.